AACGAACGCUGGCGGCAUGCCUAACACAUGCCAGUCGAACGAUGCCUUCGGGCAUAGUGGCGCACGGGUGCGUAACGCGUGGGAAUCUGCCUUUCGGUUCGGAAUAACUCAGGGAAACUUGAGCUAAUACCGGAUAACGUCGCAAGACCAAAGAUUUAUCACCGAAAGAUGAGCCCGCGUAAGAUUAGCUAGUUGGUGAGGUAAAGGCUCACCAAGGCGACGAUCCUUAGCUGGUCUGAGAGGAUGAUCAGCCACACUGGGACUGAGACACGGCCCAGACUCCUACGGGAGGCAGCAGUGGGGAAUAUUGGACAAUGGGCGAAAGCCUGAUCCAGCAAUGCCGCGUGAGUGAUGAAGGCCUUAGGGUUGUAAAGCUCUUUUACCCGGGAAGAUAAUGACGGUACCGGGAGAAUAAGCCCCGGCUAACUCCGUG
This 433-nucleotide ribosomal RNA is filed under the name uncultured bacterium. RNAcentral's name for it is "partial 16S ribosomal RNA". It matches the Rfam family "Bacterial small subunit ribosomal RNA", at positions 29 to 507 of the family's 1533-position model. The record is from RNAcentral.